Salmo salar (Atlantic salmon) is the source of this 2889-nucleotide non-coding RNA. The record is from RefSeq and is a predicted model, not a curated record. NCBI's taxonomy places the organism in Eukaryota, Metazoa, Chordata, Actinopteri, Salmoniformes, Salmonidae.
GUCCAGUUGGUGGCGGUAAUGCAACAUUAUAUUGGAUGCCAACCGCCGUUAAACACCAAAGAAGAAGGAGUUAAUCUAGAACAACAACAGCUGCCAAGCCUUCCAUGUCUGAACCCAAGUCCCCGGGUUCUUACUGUGGCUUUCCAGGACAGAUAGAGAUAAGCUCACAGUGGGGUCCAGAGAUGGUCUUAGUGAAGCUGGAGGACUGUAGUCAACCACUGGAACUCAAUGUGAUAGUCAAAGAGGAAGAGGAGGAAAGGGAAGUCAAAGAGGAAGAGGAGGAAAGGGAAGUCAAAGAGGAAGAGGAGGAAAGGGAAGUCAAAGAGGAGGAGAUAGGGAUUAAGGAGGAGGAGAUAGGGAUUAAGGAGGAGGAGAUAGGGAUUAAGGAGGAGGAGGAGGAGAUAGGGAUUAAAGAGGAGGAGGAGCGCGCAUUCAAAGAGGAGGAGGAGGAGCGCGCAUUCAAAGAGGAGGAGGUGGAGGAGGCGGAGGAGAGAGCAUUCACAGCGGAGCAGAGAGCAGUCACCGAGGAGGCGGAGGAGAGAGCAGUCACAGAAGUGGAGAACAGGGAAGAGGAGGAAGAAGUAGAUGGUAACACUGACCCAGGGGUGGCCGGUAGCCUAACGGUUAGAGAGGUGAGCCAGCGACCAAGGAUUGCCAGUUUGAAUUCCGGGUCCUGCAGAGAAGUUGGUGCAUUGGCAGCCCCAGGGGAUUCCAAAACUCGGUCGUGAAGUGAGCUGUGCAACAGGAAGGUUGCUGGUAUCUGAUAUCAAAUCCUAGAUGUCAUCACCCACUGGUGUGCCCUUGAGAGAGAGCUCCAACCCAGGUUCAGACAGUGAGCCCAGUUCCACAGCAUCAGGAAACCAUAAACAACACAGACGGAGGAACUCAAGACAGAAACAUCACCACUGCAUGGACUGCUUCACUAGUUUCUAUGAGCCAGAGGAGUUAAGAAGGCACACUUGUAGGCCCCGCUCCUGUUCAGAUUGCAGAGGCAGCUUUAUUUGCCCAACUCAACUCAAAUCAAAACAGACUCAAAAAAUGCUGCCGACAUACCCGUGUGGUCAAUGUGGGAUGAUAUGUGAAACACCAAGCAAACUAAAGACGCACCAGAGAACUCACACAGGAGAGUAGCCAUACCAAUGCACUGUUUGUGGAAAGGGUUGCAGUCAUUCGGACCAUCUAAAGACGCACCAGAGAACUCACAGGAGAGAAGCCUUACCACUGCUCCCAAUGUGGAAAGAGUUUCAGUCAGUUAACAACUUUUAGAAACCACCACCUAACUCACACAGGACAGAAGUCUUACCGCUGCUCUCAUUGUGGGAAGAGUUUCAGUCAGUUAGCCAACUGAAAUACACACCAGUUAAUUCACACAGGAGAGAAGCCAUACCACUGCUCUCAGUGUGGGAAGGAUUUCAGAUCUCCAAGAGAAUUAAAGUCACACAUGAGAACUCACACAGGAGAGAAGCCAUUCCACUGCUCCCAAUGUGGAAAGAGUUUCAGUCAGUUAUCAAGUCUGAAAAGACACCAACUAACUCACACAGGAGAGAAGCCUUACUUUUGCUCUCAAUGUGGGGAUAGUUUCACCAGUUUAUAUUUCCUAAAGAAACACCACCUAACUCACACCGGAGAGAAGCCUUAUCUCUGCUCUCAUUGUGGGAAGAGUUUCAGUCAGUUAGCCAACCUAAAUACACACCAGUUAAUUCACACAGGAGAGAAACCUUACCACUGCUCUCAAUGUGGGGAUAGUUUCACCAGUUUAUAUUUCCUAAAGAAACACCAGCUAAUUCACAUGGGUGGAAAGCUGUUCCAAUGCUCCCAGUGUGGUAAGAGUUUCAAUCAUUCAUCAACUCUGAAGAAACAUCAGAUAACUCACACAGGGGAGAAACCUUACCACUGUUCUCAGUGUGGAAAGAGUUUCAGUCUGGUAGGAAACCUGAAGAGACACCAGCUAACCCACACCGUAGAGAAGCCUUAACGAUGCUCUCAUUGUGGGAAGUGUGUCAGCCAUUUACACUACCUAAAGUCCAUUUAAUUCACACAGGAGAGAAACCAUACCACUGCUCGGUGUGGGAAGAGUUUGUCAAUCAGCAAAUUUGAAAAAGCAUUUUGGAAUUCACACAGGACAAAAGCUGUGUCAUUAGAUGGUCCCAUGUAGCUCAGUUGGUAGAGCAAGGUGUUUGCAACGCCAGGGUUGUGGGUUCGAUUCCCACGGGGGGGCCAGUACAGAGAAAAAUGUAUGCAUUCACUACUGUAAGUCGCUCUGGAUAAGAGCGUCUGCUAAAUGACUAAAAUGUAAAUGUAAAUUAGAUCUAAAGACACCAGUUUGUUUACAUAGGGGAAAAGCCUUAACUCUGCUAUCAAUGUGGGGAUAGUUUCACCAGUUUAUUUUUUUUUAAAAACACCAGAUAAUUAUGACUAAUAAUAUCUUACCUGGUUAGUUAAAGGGGGUUAAAAAAAUACUUGCAAAGGAGUGUGGCAGCUGCUCCCAGUCAGUGAACAAAUUUGAAGACCCACCAUUUCACUGGCACAGUGUGAGGAAAAGAUUCAGUCCCAUAGGCGACCUAAAGAAACACCAGCUAACUCGCACUGGAGAGAUUCCUUACGAUGUUCUUAAAAUAAAGCUGGUGUGAUAACGCUUUAUUGUGAACAUAUCCCUAUUUGAGGAAUCACCAAAAAGGCAACACUGCAGAGAAAACUCAGUGAAGUUGACAUUGUGGAAUCCAUAGCUAAUAUCUGUCCAUAGAGAAUCCUGAGUAAUUACAGACAUCAUAUAUUCUAGUUGGAUUUCUAUAAUCGCUUAUUUAAAAAAAUUCAAUAAUAGAAUUUAGUCACGAAAAAUGUAUACAACAAAAACUUCUAAAUGGCAGAAAAUAAAUACAACUAUUGUAA